GCUACGAGCGUUUGCUCCUCUUUCUGGCAGCUCUCCAGGCCCUCAGGGCCGUGUCGGGCUCUCGCUGCCCGCGCCUCGCGUCUCAGCUGCUCCGAUGGCCCCUCGCCCAGAGCUCGGACUCCUGGGUCGGGCCACCUGAGGUCACCUCUCGGCACCUCCUGAGGCCCGUUCCCCCUUGGAACUAAGUGGCUCAAGGGCUCGUCGCCUAGUAAAGGACUCCACAGACGCGGGCAGGAUGAAUGAAUGAAAUGCAACGUCUUCCGGUCAACUCGGGUCUGAAAAGGCUCUGGUCUGGCUGUUAUUUCCUGUACCUGCGUGUGUGGGUCCGUAUCUUUGAGUCCGGGAGUUUAAAAGUUAUGCAGUCCGUACAGCGCCCGAUUGACCGCCAGAGAUACGACGAGAACGAGGACUUGUCGGACGUGGAGGAGAUCGUCAGCGUCCGCGGCUUCAGCCUGGAGGAGAAGCUGCGCAGUCAGCUGUACCAGGGGGACUUCGUGCACGCCAUGGAGGGCAAAGAUUUCAACUAUGAGUACGUGCAGAGAGAAGCUCUCAGGGUUCCCCUGAUAUUUCGAGAAAAGGAUGGACUGGGGAUUAAGAUGCCUGACCCUGAUUUCACAGUCCGAGAUGUCAAACUCCUAGUGGGCGGCCGUCGGCUGGUGGACGUGAUGGAUGUGAACACGCAGAAGGGCGCGGAAAUGAGCAUGUCCCAGUUUGUGCGGUACUACGAGACUCCUGAGGCUCAGCGGGACAAGCUGUACAAUGUCAUCAGCCUUGAGUUCAGCCACACCAAGCUGGAGCACCUGGUCAAGCGUCCGACUGUGGUAGACCUGGUGGACUGGGUGGACAACAUGUGGCCCCAGCAUCUGAAGGAGAAGCAGACAGAAGCCACGAACGCCAUUGCAGAGAUGAAAUACCCGAAAGUGAAGAAAUACUGUCUGAUGAGCGUCAAAGGUUGUUUCACUGACUUCCACAUCGACUUUGGAGGCACUUCUGUUUGGUACCAUGUUUUCCGGGGUGGGAAGAUCUUUUGGCUGAUUCCUCCAACCCUACACAAUUUGGCACUGUACGAGGAGUGGGUGCUAUCAGGCAAACAGAGUGACAUCUUCCUGGGAGACCGCGUGGAGCGAUGCCAAAGAAUUGAGCUGAAACAGGGCUACACGUUUUUCAUCCCUUCCGGUUGGAUCCACGCAGUCUACACUCCUGUAGACUCUCUAGUAUUUGGUGGAAACAUCCUGCACAGCUUUAACGUGCCCAUGCAGCUGCGGAUCUACGAGAUUGAGGACAGAACACGGGUGCAGCCCAAAUUCCGUUACCCCUUCUACUAUGAGAUGUGCUGGUAUGUCUUGGAGAGAUACGUGUACUGUGUGACCCAGCGGUCCUACCUCACUCAGGAAUACCAGAGAGAAUCCAUGCUUAUUGAUGCCCCAAGAAAACCCAGCAUAGACGGCUUCUCAUCUGAUUCCUGGCUGGAGAUGGAGGAGGAGUCCUGUGAGCAGCAGCCUCAGGAGGAGGAGAAGGAGGAGGAGGAGGAAGAGGAGGAGGAGGAGGGUGCAGAUAAGGUGCCCAAACUUCCGGCUGAUGGUCCUGCCUCGCCCACCAGCACCCCUUCGGAGGACCAGGAGGCCCCCGGGAAGAAGCCCAAAGCACCUGCCAUGCGGUUCCUCCAAAGGACUUUGUCUAACGAGUCGGAGGAGAGUGUGAAGUCCACGACGGUGCCCACAGACUACCCCAAGACGCCCACUGGCUCUCCAGCCACGGGGGUCUCUGCCAAGUGGACCCACCUCACCGAGUUUGAGCUGAAGGGCCUGAAAGCGCUGGUGGAGAAACUGGAAUCUCUCCCAGAGAACAAGAAGUGUGUCCCCGAGGGCAUCGAGGACCCCCAGGCACUCCUGGAGGGUGUGAAGAAUGUCCUGAAGGAGCAUGCAGACGACGACCCCAGUCUGGCCGUCACUGGGGUCCCUGUAGUCACUUGGCCAAAGAAGACUCCAAAGAACCGGGCGGUAGGUCGGCCCAAGGGGAAGCUGGGCCCGGCCUCCGCCGUGAAGUUGGCCGCCAACCGGACGACGGCGGGAGCUCGCCGGCGCCGGACGCGAUGCCGCAAGUGCGAGGCCUGCCUGCGGACCGAGUGCGGAGAGUGUCACUUCUGCAAGGACAUGAAGAAGUUCGGGGGCCCCGGGCGGAUGAAGCAGAGCUGUAUCAUGCGGCAGUGCAUCGCGCCAGUGCUGCCCCACACCGCCGUGUGCCUGGUGUGUGGCGAGGCAGGGAAAGAAGACACAGUGGAAGAGGAAGAAGGAAAGUUUAACCUCAUGCUAAUGGAGUGCUCUAUCUGCAACGAAAUCAUCCACCCUGGAUGCCUUAAGAUUAAGGAGUCAGAGGGCGUGGUCAACGAUGAGCUUCCAAACUGCUGGGAGUGUCCAAAGUGUAACCACGCCGGCAAGACCGGGAAACAAAAGCGUGGCCCUGGCUUUAAGUAUGCCUCCAACCUGCCCGGCUCCCUGCUCAAGGAGCAGAAGAUGAACCGGGACAACAAGGAAGGGCAGGAGCCUGCCAAGCGGAGGAGUGAGUGCGAGGAGGCGCCUCGGCGCAGGUCAGAUGAGCACCCCAAGAAGGUGCCCCCGGAUGGCAUCCUGCGCCGAAAGUCAGACGACGUACACCUGAGGAGGAAGCGGAAAUACGAGAAGCCCCAAGAGCUGAGUGGACGCAAGCGAGCCUCGACGCUUCAAACGUCCCCCGGUUCCUCCUCUCACCUCUCGCCGAGGCCCCCUCUAGGCAGCAGCCUCAACCCCUGGUGGAGAUCCAGUCUCACUUACUUCCAGCAGCAGCUAAAACCUGGCAAAGAAGAUAAGCUUUUCAGGAAAAAGCGGCGGUCCUGGAAGAACGCCGAGGACCGGAUGGCCCUUGCCAACAAGCCUCUCCGGCGCUUCAAGCAGGAGCCAGAGGAUGACCUGCCCGAGGCGCCCCCCACCGCCCGGGAAAGCGACCACUCCCGUUCGAGCUCCCCUACCGCCGGGCCCAGCACCGAGGGGGCAGAGGGCCCCGAGGAGAAGAAGAAGGUGAAGAUGCGCCGGAAAAGGCGGCUUCCCACCAAGGAGCUGAGCAAGGAGCUGAGCAAGGAGCUGAACCAAGAGAUCCAGAAGACCGAGAACAGCCUGGCCAACGAGAACCACCAGCCCAUCAAGUCAGAGCCCGAGAGCGAGAGCGAGGAGCCCAAGCGGCCCCUGGGCCUCUGCGAGCGCCCCCACCGUUUCAGCAAGGGGCUCACCGGCCCCCCCCGGGAGUUGCGGCACCAGCUGGGGCCCGGCCUGCGGAGCCCACCCCGUGUCAUCUCCCGGCCCCCUCCCUCCGUGUCCCCGCCCAAGUGCAUCCAGAUGGAGCGACAUGUGAUCCGGCCGCCCCCCAUCAGCCCCCCGCCUGACUCACUGCCCCUGGACGAUGGGGCGGCCCACGUCAUGCACAGGGAGGUGUGGAUGGCCGUCUUCAGCUACCUCAGCCACCAAGACUUGUGUGUCUGCAUGCGGGUCUGCAGGACCUGGAACCGCUGGUGCUGCGAUAAGCGGUUAUGGACCCGCAUCGAUCUGAACCACUGCAAGUCCAUCACGCCCCUGAUGCUGAGUGGCAUCAUCCGGCGGCAGCCUGUCUCCCUGGACCUCAGCUGGACCAAUAUCUCCAAGAAACAGCUGAGCUGGCUCAUCAACCGGUUGCCUGGGCUCCGAGACUUGGUGCUGUCGGGCUGCUCGUGGAUCGCCGUCUCAGCUCUCUGUAGCUCCAGCUGUCCUUUGCUCCGGACCCUGGAUGUCCAGUGGGUGGAAGGACUAAAGGAUGCCCAGAUGCGGGAUCUCCUGUCCCCGCCCACAGAUAACAGGCCAGGUCAGAUGGACAAUCGGAGCAAGCUCCGGAACAUUGUGGAGCUGCGUCUAGCAGGCCUGGACAUCACAGAUGCCUCCCUGCGGCUCAUCAUACGCCACAUGCCCCUGCUGUCCAAGCUCCACCUCAGCUACUGUAACCACGUUACUGACCAGUCCAUCAACCUGCUCACCGCUGUGGGCACCACCACCCGAGACUCCUUAACCGAAAUCAACCUAUCAGACUGCAAUAAGGUGACUGACCAGUGCCUGUCCUUCUUCAAACGCUGUGGAAAUAUCUGUCAUAUUGACCUGAGGUACUGCAAGCAGGUCACCAAGGAGGGCUGUGAGCAGUUCAUAGCUGAAAUGUCUGUGAGUGUCCAGUUUGGGCAAGUGGAAGAAAAACUCCUACAGAAACUGAGUUAGUCCGAGGACAAGUAUGUAAAUAAGGGAUGGGUGGGGAGAGGGGACACGGCCGAGGAGGGAAAAGACUUUAAAAAAAAAAAAAAAAAAAAAAAGGAGGGCUUUGAUUUUCAAUUUGGAACUUGGACAACAGACCACAGAACGUUCCAUCUGCAAGUCUUGCCGAGGGAGAAGCUGUUCUGCCGCCUGUUCUGGGGCUGAAUGAGCCGGACCCUUUCCUUUGGUCUGAAUUCUAGCCGCACUGCUUUCUGGACCAUUUCUAAGGCGGCCUUUACCAAGAAGACAUUCCCGCCGGAGGAGGAUGGACUCUGGAGAAAUUCUCUUGCUGAAGAGCGAGCUUAGGAGUUUUUGCUGGUGGUGGUGUUUUGUCUUGGACGCCUCAGUCCUCGCAACCCCGGGACUGGUGUCGACAUACAGUGGGCCACACACCGCCUCUGCUGCCAUCUUGACAUUUUGUUUGAUUGCCAACUUUCCUGGUUUCCCUGAGGUAGGCGAGAACUUGACCUGUACUUCAUCAACACAGAUGCCCCAUCUACACACGUGCCCAGAUCUGGCAGAGCAGGCCAAGACCUUCCCGUUAAAAGCAUGUUUAACUGGAAGUUGAGAGCCCGCUUUGGACGUCAAGAAUUACCUAAGCAUGUGGAUCUAUGUUAAUUCUAGUCGAAGUAAGACACUCUGUACAGAAUUCACCUAUUUCUCAAAAUUUUAAAAUUCAGACUUCAGCCUUUGCACUCAGGAGGGUUUUGCGGCCAGCGCAUGAGCUGUUGUACCUACACAGAUUAAUUUAUACAGUGAGUCAAGUAGAAUAAAUGAUCCAACAUAGCCUUUCUUUUCCUUUUUUCUCUCCUUUGAGGUGAGUUGAGUUCUCGUUCAAGGUUUAUAACAUGGCUAUUUCCUAGUUGUAAAGUUAUGCCUCCAUAAGUGCCAUUCUUGUAAGGUGUUGUUUUCCUAGACCUGCCCCAAAGCGGUUUUACCUUUGUUGAAUUUGUAUAAACAAUUGUACAAAAAAAGCA
RNA transcript from Panthera uncia (snow leopard), 5278 nucleotides. It is a transcript of the gene named lysine demethylase 2B, with no coding region annotated. The record is from RefSeq and is a predicted model, not a curated record. Lineage: Eukaryota; Metazoa; Chordata; Mammalia; Carnivora; Felidae. The transcript has 25 exons.